CAAACAGCACUGACGCGUCAGAGAGGCUUGCGGGUGAGCACCUAAUUAGAGGGUGGCCAGGGAAGGCCCGUCUGAGGAGGUGGGACCUGAAUGACAAGGAGUCACCACGGGGCGGUCACAGUGCGCCAGGCAGAGGCACCAGCAAACGCCCAAGGAAGGGCCACAGUCAGCGAGUUUGAGGGACGGAAGGCCAGAGCGGCUGGAGCUUGGGGCAGGAGGCAAGAUGAGGUGGUGCCAGAGUUCGGUCACGAGGAAAUCAUCACCAAAUCCAGACUGAGGACCAGUCUACAAAAUCCGUGGCCAGCUCUGCUCAAGACUGUCACGGUCAUGGGAGACGAGGAGAGACUGAGCCACUGUCACAGAGCAGAGGAGGCUGGAGAGGCAGGACCGAAGGCGAUGCGGGAACUUGGACUGUGUCCUGGAACAGAAAAGGACGUGAGUGGAAACGCCAGUGAAGUCCGAAGGAAGCCUGGAGUUAGUUCACAGCAACGCACCCAUGGUGGGUUUUUAAUUUCGACAGAUGUCCCACAUUAAUGGAAGAUGUUAACAAGAGAGGAAACCAGACUGUGAGCUUCUUGGGGCCAGAGACUAUGUCUUCUUCAUCCCUGUGACCCUCGGACCUGGCACAUAAGAACUCGCUAAAUACGCACUGAACGAACGAUUUUAACAAGAUGAAGCAGCAGCAUUUGAUUGGACAUCCUGGUCCUGGAUCCUGAAACCAGCCUCCUUGGCUUAUGGGUAAGCUACCCCUGACAGCAACUGUAUCAUUUUGGUGGAUUUAAAAGAAAAUACAAUGUCAUCCAAUCAAACCAUCUCUCUUUUGAAACCAAGGCAGUGUCACCGUACUAAUCGAAGCUCCCAAGGCCUUGUUUUCUGGAUGGACUCCCUUCGACAGCAAUAAUGGGCAGUAACAAACUAAGCCCUCACCCCAGCUGCCUGUGAUAAACGCAUCCAGAACACACUACAAAUCUCAGAGUGAGGCUCUGAGGCCUGAGGCUGCAGCAAAAGAAAACCAAGGUUGACAGGCACAAGUUUAAGAACCUGAUAUUCUCUAAAUGAAAAAAGGCCAGAUGCCUGUUUCUUCACCACUGAAUGCAGAAAGUGUGUUAUCUGAGCGUCCUGCCGUUUUUUAAACCUGGGACUCUAAUGAUAUUUGUUUGGUCAACUCUAAACUUCAUUUGUUAAAAAAAAAAAUCUAAUUUACUGAGUCUCACAGUGUUUCUUUCCUUUGCCUUAAAUUGUUGGG
This 1246-nucleotide long non-coding RNA is filed under the name Equus asinus (donkey). Its description in RNAcentral is "lncRNA (ENSEASG00005032787.1)". Lineage: Eukaryota; Metazoa; Chordata; Mammalia; Perissodactyla; Equidae. The record is from RNAcentral.